GACGAACGCUGGCGGCGUGCCUAAUACAUGCAAGUAGAACGCACAGUUUAUACCGUAGCUUGCUACACCAUAGACUGUGAGUUGCGAGCGGGUGAGUCACGCGUAGGUAACCUGCCUGGUAGCGGGGGAUAACUAUUGGAAACGAUAGCUAAUACCGCAUAAUAUUGAUUAUUGCAUGAUAAUUGAUGGAAAGAUGCUAUUGCAUCACUACCAGAUGGACCUGCGUUGUAUUAGCUAGUAGGUGAGGUAACGGCUCACCUAGGCGACGAUACAUAGCCGACCUGAGAGGGGUGUCGGCCAACCUGGGACGGGGACACGGCCCAGACUCCUGCGGGGGGCAGCAGGAGGGGAACUUUGGCAAUGGAGGAAAGGCUGAACGAGGAACGCCGCGGGAGUGAAGAAGGGUUUCGGGUCGUAAAGCUCUGUUGUAAGAGAAGAACGGGUGGGAGAUUGGAAAGUUCACACUGUGACGGUAUCUUACCAGAAAGCGACGGCUAACUACGUG
RNAcentral lists this ribosomal RNA (505 nucleotides) under uncultured bacterium. RNAcentral's name for it is "partial 16S ribosomal RNA". It matches the Rfam family "Bacterial small subunit ribosomal RNA", at positions 28 to 507 of the family's 1533-position model. The record is from RNAcentral.